CACUUUACCCUAAUUUAUCUACACCAUCCUUCUUUGACUUAUAUCAAACACACCUACCAAAAGUAACCAUGGAAAACACUAACGAGCUUCCUAUCCUUUUUUUUUCCAGAUCUUUGUUGAAGUUAUUACAGCCCCCAAUCUUGUUAUUAUUGUUCGUCAUCGCGUCUUUGAUCCGUUGCUGGUGGUUGCGCUGUGGUUGCUGCCGAAAUCUAACAACCUCAUUCGCCGUCAUUCUCAAAUUCAGUAGACAUAUGGAAAGAACAAUAUGCAAGUCUUUUGGAAGAGCGCAGACUAGAAAGGGAAGCAGCAGCAGAGGCGGCAGUAGCAGCAGCAGCUCGGGAAAAGAUGAUGCUUGACAGGAUGACGGCGAUUGAGCAAAGGCUUGCAAAAUUUCCACCAACUACUCUCGCUCCAUGAUCUUUGGAUGGGUAGUGAUAGUAAUCCCCAUGAGUGAGUAUUGGUUAUUUUGUGAUACUUCUCUUCAAUGGUGUUUCAUUUAAUUUUUGGAUGUAUAUUUGGGGGGAAUUUCUUUUGGAUGUAUAUUUGGGGUUGAAUUUAGAAUCUAAAACUAUUAGGUACUUUGUAAUAUCCUUACAUGAAUUAUGGCCAUUUUGGUGAAUGAUAUAUAUAUGGGGUUGAUGUUCGGAUUUUAA
Erigeron canadensis is the source of this 653-nucleotide long non-coding RNA. RefSeq lists it as uncharacterized. NCBI's taxonomy places the organism in Eukaryota, Viridiplantae, Streptophyta, Magnoliopsida, Asterales, Asteraceae. The record is from RefSeq and is a predicted model, not a curated record. The transcript has 2 exons.